This 448-nucleotide ribosomal RNA is filed under the name uncultured bacterium. RNAcentral describes it as "bacterial SSU rRNA". It matches the Rfam family "Bacterial small subunit ribosomal RNA", at positions 330 to 793 of the family's 1533-position model. The record is from RNAcentral.
ACCAGACUCCUACGGGAGGCAGCAGUGGGGAAUAUUGGGCAAUGGGCGCAAGCCUGACCCAGCAACGCCGCGUGAAGGAAGAAGGCUUUCGGGUUGUAAACUUCUUUUAAGAGGGAAGAGCAGAAGACGGUACCUCUUGAAUAAGCCACGGCUAACUACGUGCCAGCAGCCGCGGUAAUACGUAGGUGGCAAGCGUUAUCCGGAUUUAUUGGGUGUAAAGGGCGUGUAGGCGGGAGCGCAAGUCAGAUGUGAAAGCUCAGGGCUCAACCCUGAGCCUGCAUUUGAAACUGUGUUUCUUGAGUGCUGGAGAGGCAAUCGGAAUUCCGUGUGUAGCGGUGAAAUGCGUAGAUAUACGGAGGAACACCAGUGGCGAAGGCGGAUUGCUGGACAGUAACUGACGCUGAGGCGCGAAAGCGUGGGGAGCAAACAGGAUUAGAUACCCUCGUAG